RNAcentral lists this ribosomal RNA (440 nucleotides) under uncultured bacterium. RNAcentral's name for it is "partial 16S ribosomal RNA". It matches the Rfam family "Bacterial small subunit ribosomal RNA", at positions 338 to 795 of the family's 1533-position model. The record is from RNAcentral.
CCUACGGGGGGCAGCAGUGGGGAAUAUUGCACAAUGGGGGAAACCCUGAUGCAGCGACGCCGCGUGAGUGAAGAAGUAUUUCGGUACGUAAAGCUCUAUCAGCAGGGGAGAAAAUGACGGUACCUGACUAAGAAGCCCCGGCUAACUACGUGCCAGCAGCCGCGGUAAUACGGAGGGGGCAAGCGUUAUCCGGAUUUACUGGGUGUAAAGGGAGCGUAGACGGCAGGGCAAGUCUGUAGUGAAAUCCCAUGGCUUAACCAUGGAACUGCUUUGGAAACUGUGCAGCUAGAGUGCAGGAGAGGUAAGCGGAAUUCCUAGUGUAGCGGUGAAAUGCGUAGAUAUUAGGAGGAACACCAGUGGCGAAGGCGGCUUACUGGACUGUAACUGACGUUGAGGCUCGAAAGCGUGGGGAGCAAACAGGAUUAGAUACCCUAGUAGUC